This 788-nucleotide long non-coding RNA is filed under the name Marmota monax (woodchuck). Lineage: Eukaryota; Metazoa; Chordata; Mammalia; Rodentia; Sciuridae. The record is from RNAcentral.
GUGGCUCAGAGGUAGAGCACUUGCCUACCACAUGUGAGGCCCUGGGUUUGAUCCUCAGCACCACAUAAAAGUAAAUAAAUAAAAUAAAGGUAUUAUGUCCAACUACAACUAAAAAAUAAAUAUUUUUAAAAAAAUUAUUCAAGGGCUGGGGGUGUAGCUCAGUGGUAGAGCCCUUGCCUAGCAUGUGUGAGGCACGGGGUUGGAUUCUCAGCACCACAUAUAAAUAAAUAAAGUCCAUUGACAACUAAAAAUAUUUUUAAAAAAUUUAUUUUAGUGCCUGUGACACUCACCCAACUAAAACUAGACUAUUCACAAAUAAGAAUUUAUCCUCAGUGUAUGGGUCUCCCUCCUGACACUCCAAGCUUGGAGUGCACAUUGGAACCUGGGAUCCAGAUGCCAUGAGGAUACCUGCUCUGUGCUAGGUUGAAUAGUGUCCCUAAAGGUUCAUAGCCAUCUGGAACCUCUGAAUCUGUUUUAUCGGGAAGCAGGAUCUUUGUAGUCAAAGGAAGUCAUCCUGACUUCCUUUUGUGGUGGACCCUAAUCCAAUGACUGGCAUCUCAUCAUAAGAAGAGACACACAGGGAUGCAGAGAGAAUCACAGGAGAAGACACACAGGGAGGGAAUGUUACUCAUGGACGGCAGCAGAGUUGAAGUGACGCAUCUGCCCAACAAUGCUGAGGAUUACUGGCAGCAUCCAGAACCUCCAAGAGGCAAAGAAGGAUCCUCUCCUAGAGACUGCAGAGGGGCCAUGGCCCAGCUGACAUCUGGAUUUCAAGCCUCUAGCCUGAG